AAACUUUUCCUUUCUCUAAUUUACUAAACCCGCGCUACGUCUUUCAGUCCAAUUUUUUUAUUUAAUAUUUUUAGCAUCUAACACCUAAGCCCUAAUAUUUUCCAACCCCAAUCCCUCCGUCAAACCUAAUCUCCGGCGAGUCUUCUCCUCUGGCCACACCUUCAUCGAGCACGCUUCUAGGUCUGUUGAGGUAAGCUCUAGCAGAGAAAUUUAUUUUCUUUCCUUUGUGUGUAGGCUUUAGAUGAGAAAUCUCAAGAGUAUUGUCAAAUUUCUUCAAGUUUGUUGCUUUUGGUUCUGCUUCUGAAUUAUUUUGCUCAAGGCAAAAUAGCAUCUCUCAACACUGUAGUGUUUUCCCUAAGAUUGGAAAUUUGGUCAUAUCAAUAAUCAAGAGAUAAGCAACUGAAUGUUGAUGGUUGAUGGGUGGACCCUUCUUAUAAUUUCACAAUAUGCUUUUGAUUCAGUUCUCACCUUGAAUCUGAAGAGACCACCUUCAGAAAUCUACAGGAGGUACUUAUUUUUCAAAAACUUCUAUCAUAGCACAGAGAAAAGUGUACAGAGAAAAUUCCAUCUUUAACGAAGUAAAUAUUUGGUUGUUAUGUUAGUUCCGUAAGCACGACACUGCACCCGGUAUGUUAAUGCUAUCUUUGUCCUGAAACCUUAAGAAGAUUUUUGAAUUAUUGCUGAUAUUGUAUAUGGUUUAGGAACUUUUGUUAUCAAACAUUUUGCUGAUAUUGUAAUGUAUGAUUUCUUUUGGGGAGAGGUGAUUAGGCAGGAUAUGGCGCGACUCAGGAUAACUGAGGACAUGACCCUUGAUAGGAAAUUGUGGAGGUCGAGCAUUAAUGUCGUAGGUUAGGGGGAAGUUGUGAAUAUUUCUACGGUACACCAGAGUGAGACUAACCAGUUAGGAUUUAGUUCUAGGAUGCUAGUGGUUAUCUACUGAUGUAGGGUUUUAUCUGCUAGUUAUUAUUGUACUUUGAAUUUAUUUCGUAUUUCUUAUAUUGCUGUUAUUUUAUUAUGAUUCUAUUGAUGAUACUAAUAUAUUGUCUCUUGUUGCCUUCUUGAGCCGAGGGUCUCCUGGAAACAGCCUCUCUGCCCCUCGAGGUAGGGGUAAGGUCUGCGUAUAUAUUACCCUCCCCGACCCCACUUGUGGGAUUACACUGGGUCGUUGUUAUUGUUGUAAUGUAUGAUAAUUGUAUGUAGUUAAACUUGAUAGUUGUGCAUUUUGGGACAAAGUUAUUCUUGAGGAUCCAAUCGAUAGGUACUUAUUCCAGAAUCAACUCUUGACUUCAAUUGCUAGUAUACUACUUUAAUUCAUCCUAUAAUAUUUCUGUUUGGUGAUGCAUGAGUUUAAUUCUUAAAGAACAAUUCAUCUUUCUUAUCUUAUACAUCUGAAAAUUCCUAGCUACUUUCGCUGUUUAGGAUGGUGGAAUAAUGGAUGUGUUAAAUCUAUAUGUUUUAGACUGUAAGUUCUCCUUUGCUUUUCUUCUUAUUCUGUUUGAUGUUUUUCCUAUUUGUUCUCUCUUUUACUGGAAUAAAAAUAAGAUUUUAGAGUUUGAUACUAAGUUCGAUUUAAAAAUUAUAGUGAAAUAUUACUUACCGAGCAUAGAAAUAAGUGGUGAUAUUAGUUAGUAAAGCCUUGACUAUAAAUAUUACUUACCGGGCAUGUAUUACUGCAUACUUCGUAGAGUAUUUGACUUAUUUGUUGUUGUGUUGUAGUUACUGGAUUUCUUACCUUCUUAUUUCAUUGUUAUUCCGCUUUCCAACUGGUUAGUUUCCUGAACGACGCAUUAUGAUUCCUUUACGUGUUAGUUAGUGUUAGAAUAAAUUCGCCCUCCUGUUUAUUUUCUUUUACUCUAUUUGCGCAUUCUGUAUAUUCUUGGCCAUGCCAAGUGCCAUACGACACUCUAUUGAAAUUAUGCCAAUAUAAUGACCAGGUACGUCUCUUAUGAAUCCUUCCUGAAGGACUUCGAAUAAUAUCUCUAUAUGCAUGAUAUUUAGUGUUUGAACAUAUUUAGACACAUGUCACCUAGAUGCCAUGCCGUUAGGACUUUAAUCACUUAGAUAUUAUGUCAUAAGGGAUAAUAAGCAUAUUCUUAUGUAUCUAUAUUCAUUAUGCUUUACUUUCUUUGGCUUAUUCGACUGAGAAUGAAUUGAACUCUUAGCAUAUCAGAAUCUAGAAUAAUUCAAUCUGCAACACUUGAAGCAUAUCAUAUCUGUCCUCUGUCUAGUUGGGAUAAUUAAGAUACUAAUGGGAAUGUUAGAAAUCAUUAGGAAAUGGGCUAUAACCAGUUAUACUCAAAUCAGUUUUUUUUGUGUGUGUUUUAAUUUGUUCAAAUACAUGUUUGGAUUUACAAUAUCUGUUGCAGUAGGGUAUUGAUAAUUGUUCAAAUAUCACAAAAACCGUUGUAAUAUAUCAUCAAAACCGUUGCAAUAGACUUAAAAAAUCGCUAGUAUAAUUAUACCACAACGGUUUAUAACCGCCCUAAUAGAAAAGAAAAUUAUUCCCAUAGAUAUAACAAAUUGUAACAGUACUUACAAUACCCCCUAUAUGGAGACGGUUUUGAAACCGUUACAAAUAACCGUUCCAAUAGACCUAUUGUAACAUUGAAUCCUGGAACGCGUCCAAAUCCGUUCUGAUAGCCCUAUAGGGACAGUUAGUGUAUCUAUUGCCACGGUUUUGGAAGGGUUGCCAUAGGAGUAAUUUCUAGUAGUGGGCCAUGACCUUUUGGUCACAUAACAGAAGAUACAUUACCAUAUUCUCCUUUUUAUAAUAAGUGGCUGAGUAAUAUGAUAUAAAAGAAUAUGUUUUGUGGUUUUGUAGUAACCUAUGAUUUGUCAGAUCUAUUACCUAUUGUGAUUACCUUUUUUUUGGUUAAAAAAGUGCAUUUCAUUAUAAACUACCCAUUAGUGUGCCAAUUGACAGAAGCAUUAUUUCGAGGAGGUAUAUCAAUUCACCCUCAUUGUGACUAAAGUUAUCAAUAUUAUAAUCCAAAAUUUGUCUUGAUGAAACAGUUCCUGUGAUGUCUGCUCAAAAAAUAUGUGCGGCAAACACCGGAGGAACUGUUGUUACAAAAGUAUUUUCAAAAAAGUUCUUCUUGGCUCCUUCCUUGGCUAGUAGAUCAGCUACUCUGUUCAUCUCCCUGUAACUGUGCUUCACCACCACGUCUCUUAGCCUUUGGAUGAUUGACAUGCAUUCAAAGAUAAUAGAGUAAAAAAUAAGGUUUCCAUUAAUAAGCAUUCUAAUUACCUCUGUGGAGUCUGUGUUGAUUUCCAAGGGUAUAAGAUGCCUUUCUUCUGCUAGUUGCAGACCCUUUAGGAUAACAAGCAAUUCAGCCUGUGUGUUGGUAGUAUGCUGUAUACUCCCCAUGUAGCCCAGAAUCCAAUUCCCACUUGCAUUUCCGAAGAAACCUCCCACUCCUCCCUUGCCAGGGUUCCCUAGUGCAGCUCCAUGAGUGUUGAGCUUGUACAUAUUGGUGGGGGGUGGCAUCCAUUUGACCCAAGUAGUUCUAUUCUUUGUUGGUGCAUUGCUUAUUGAGAUGGUAAAAUACUCAAUUGCUUUUGCCAUGGUAGCUUUUAAAUUUACCAUAUCCUUUCUUUUGUUGAAUAGAUUAUUGUUUCUUGUGAGCCAGAUUUUCCAGAAGUAGAAAGGAAAUAGGUCUUCCCAAUUGAUGAUGCUGUUGAUGGGUUUCUUUUUAAGGAAAUCCCAUAUGCUUUGCCAGUCCUUACUGUUAAAGGAGGAUACAUGGCUUGGAAGAGAGUUUGUACUUUCAGAAGCAAGCUUUGUCCAAAAUGUAUUGGCAUUGGGACAUUCAAAGAAUAUGUGAGAAGAUGUUUUAAUUGUCCGGUUGCGGAAGCAGCAAAUUGUGUCUAAUUGGAUCCUAAUAUGCUGGAGAAAGGACCCAGCGGGGAGCCUGUCAUGAAAUAGGAGCCAGAAGAAAGAUUUGAUUUUAUUUGGCACUUUUAAUUUCCAGAUCCACACGUAAUUGUUGCUUGUGUUUUCACAAUGUUGAUACUCAAGCUUGUGUAGGAGGGAAUAUGCUGACUUUAAAGUGAAGAUCCCAUUAGUGAUAGCCCCCAGAUCAUUCUAUCUUCUUUUAUUGGGUUGGGUGAGAUAAAGGUGUUAUGGAUAAUGUUUUUGAUACUUGGGGGUAUGUUUAGUGAUAUAGAAGAAAGGUCUCAAUCCCCAUUUGAUAGGUUUUAAAUGUCCUCGCAUUAUGUUUUAAUGAUCUAACAAACUUACUAUUAAGAACCAGAUAAGGAACCUGACCUAUUUGGACUAUACUGCAAGUUUAACGGAUUCCAGCUAAAUGUGAACUGCUACAGAUUCAGGAGUUAGGAAACCAAACAAAGACCUGAUACCUUUGUGGUUCCUUCAUAGCAGUACAAAGUCAAUUGGACACAGCUGGAAACGAAGUGACCGCCUGCAUUGUUUCUACGACAUUGCACUGUUUCCAGUGCCCACUUAUUUCUUAACCAACUAAAGUGCUCACAUCAUUUCAAGUGAUGUGAUCAAGGUGUACCAACAAUGGGUUGAUAUUAAAACAUCACUUGAAUGUUUCAGUUUCUCAUUCAAGCCUUUUGCAAAAAUAGAGAAAUCAAUUCUCA
Molecule: long non-coding RNA, 4605 nt
Filed under: Nicotiana tabacum (common tobacco)
Lineage: Eukaryota; Viridiplantae; Streptophyta; Magnoliopsida; Solanales; Solanaceae
Description: long non-coding RNA (NTAB_LNC013128)
Source: RNAcentral